CCUGGCGGCCUUAGCNGCGGUGGUCCCACCUGACCCCAUGCCGAACUCAGAAGUGAAACGCCGUAGCGCCGAUGGUAGUGUGGGGUCUCCCCAUGCGAGAGUAGGGAACUGCCAGGC
RNAcentral lists this ribosomal RNA (117 nucleotides) under Escherichia coli. Lineage: Bacteria; Pseudomonadati; Pseudomonadota; Gammaproteobacteria; Enterobacterales; Enterobacteriaceae. The record is from RNAcentral.